RNAcentral lists this ribosomal RNA (492 nucleotides) under uncultured bacterium. Its description in RNAcentral is "partial 16S ribosomal RNA". It matches the Rfam family "Bacterial small subunit ribosomal RNA", at positions 29 to 507 of the family's 1533-position model. The record is from RNAcentral.
AGUGAACGCUGGCGGUAGGCCUAACACAUGCAAGUCGAACGGCAGCACAGUAAGAGCUUGCUCUUACGGGUGGCGAGUGGCGGACGGGUGAGGAAUACAUCGGAAUCUACUUUUUCGUGGGGGAUAACGUAGGGAAACUUACGCUAAUACCGCAUACGACCUACGGGUGAAAGCAGGGGAUCUUCGGACCUUGCGCGAUUGAAUGAGCCGAUGUCGGAUUAGCUAGUUGGCGGGGUAAAGGCCCACCAAGGCGACGAUCCGUAGCUGGUCUGAGAGGAUGAUCAGCCACACGGGAACUGAGACACGGUCCAGACGCCUACGGGAGGCAGCAGUGGGGAAUAUUGGGCAAUGGGCGCAAGCCUGAUCCAGCCAUACCGCGUGGGUGAAGAAGACCUUCGGGUUGUAAAGCCCUUUUGUUGGGAAAGAAAAGCAGCAGGUUAAUACCCCGCUGUUCUGACGGUACCCAAAAAAUAAGCACCGGCUAACUUCGUG